GGGAGUUACCGGGAGCAUGGCUAGCUGAAGGGCUUGUUUCUGCAGGACAUGGACUACUCACGCAUCAUCGAGCGCCUCCUGAAGCUGGCGGUGAGUGCGGACAGGUGGCGCAUGCACGGGACAGGAGGGGACGGUGGCAUGUGGGGGAAGGUUCUAGAACUUGGUGCCCACCCCCACCCCCCUGCCAGGUCCCCAACCACCUCAUCUGGCUCAUCUUCUUCUACUGGCUCUUCCACUCCUGCCUGAAUGCCGUGGCUGAGCUCAUGCAGUUUGGAGACCGGGAGUUCUACCGGGACUGGUGGUGAGUGGCCCUGGGGUGUCCCUGGGGGCUGGGAUGGGCCAUGGUGUGCUCUGAUCCCCCUGUGGUCUCUUGGCCCCUAGGAACUCCGAGUCUGUCACCUACUUCUGGCAGAACUGGAACAUCCCUGUGCACAAGUGGUGCAUCAGGUAGGUGAGGUGUGUGUGUGUGAUGUGGAACAUGGCUGUGAACCUGACCCCUUUCCACACUCCCCCUCUGCAGAAACCACGUGGUGUGUGCGUGUGACUGUGGAACAUGGCUGUGAACCUGAACCGCUUUCCAUGCCCCCUCCUCUGCAGGCACUUCUACAAGCCCAUGCUUCGACGGGGCAGCAGCAAGUGGAUGGCCAGGACAGGGGUGUUCCUGGCCUCGGCCUUCUUCCACGAGUACCUGGUGAGCGUCCCUCUGCGAAUGUUCCGCCUCUGGGCGUUCACGGGCAUGAUGGCUCAGGUGAGCGACC
Molecule: small RNA, 758 nt
Filed under: Pongo abelii (Sumatran orangutan)
Lineage: Eukaryota; Metazoa; Chordata; Mammalia; Primates; Hominidae
Description: retained intron
Source: RNAcentral